AUUGAACGCUGGCGGCAUGCCUUACACAUGCAAGUCGAACGGCAGCACGGGAGCAAUCCUGGUGGCGAGUGGCGAACGGGUGAGUAAUAUAUCGGAACGUGCCCAGUCGUGGGGAUAACGUAGCGAAAGCUACGCUAAUACCGCAUACGAUCUAUGGAUGAAAGCGGGGGAUCGCAAGACCUCGCGCGAUUGGAGCGGCCGACAUCAGAUUAGGUAGUUGGUGAGGUAAAGGCUCACCAAGCCGACGAUCUGUAGCUGGUCUGAGAGGACGACAGCCACACUGGGACUGAGACACGGCCCAGACUCCUACGGAGGCAGCAGUGGGGAAUUUUGGACAAUGGCGCAAGCCUGAUCCAGCAAUGCCGCGUGCAGGAUGAAGGCCUCGGGUUGU
RNAcentral lists this ribosomal RNA (391 nucleotides) under uncultured bacterium. RNAcentral describes it as "bacterial SSU rRNA". It matches the Rfam family "Bacterial small subunit ribosomal RNA", at positions 30 to 426 of the family's 1533-position model. The record is from RNAcentral.